This 532-nucleotide non-coding RNA is filed under the name Pongo abelii (Sumatran orangutan). The record is from RNAcentral. Lineage: Eukaryota; Metazoa; Chordata; Mammalia; Primates; Hominidae.
CUUAUUCAUCAUUCAUUCAUUUAUUUGAUUAGUUGAAAACACUUCCGACUAAGGAAGUAGAGAGCCCACAAUCCUGUGGGAAAACAGGCCUGGGAACUAAUAUCUCAGGGGUAGUCAGGGUCGGGCCCAGAUCCUCAAAGGGGAGAAUAAAAAAGCGAGGGUGCCGUAUGUCGCAUAAAGAAAGUAGCAGGAAUAAACCUGCCAGAUGUACAGCAGUAGCAUAAGUAGGUGAACAGGCAUAAUUUUCAAGUAUUUUCUUUGAUGGAGAUGAGACCUGAAGUUGUGACCAAAGCACCGCUGCAGCAAGCUCCAACACAUGUAAGCCAUCAAGGGGAUGUUAAAAAACGCCAGCUGGAAAAGAACAGAACCAUAGCUUACUCCCAAGUCCUUGGAAUAGUUUGGUCUUAAUCAUGCAUUAUUAGUGGAUCCUAAGAAUAUGCUGCUAUCUGUCUUGGUGUUAGCUAAUUUACUUCAAGCACAGUUGCUUAUAACACAACAGCUGACUUGUGGCUAGUUGUGUAUUUGCCCAUGU